UGAAAUAAUAUUUUGAAAGGAUGAGGGGCCAUGAAAAAUUUACCACAGGUUUAGAAAUAUCUUCCAGCCCCCCCCCCCAGCAUUAAUAAUGACUGCUGCCUAAAUCAGUGCUCCGUUUUAGUGGGAAAUAUCCUACUUAAAAGCUGAAAACUAAAUAAAUGAUGCAACUAAAAUAAAAAAGCAAUUGUUGACCGAUUUUUACUUGAUAGAUAGAUAGAUAAACUUUAUUUAAACACGCUGA
This is a non-coding RNA of Paramuricea clavata, 241 nucleotides long. Lineage: Eukaryota; Metazoa; Cnidaria; Anthozoa; Malacalcyonacea; Plexauridae. The record is from the annotation of a GenBank genome assembly.